UACGAAGGGGGCUAGCGUUGUUCGGAAUUACUGGGCGUAAAGCGCGCGUAGGCGGGUGAUUAAGUCAGGGGUGAAAUGCCGAGGCUCAACCUCGGAACUGCCUUUGAUACUGGUCGCCUGGAGUUCGGGAGAGGUAAGUGGAAUUCCGAGUGUAGAGGUGAAAUUCGUAGAUAUUCGGAGGAACACCAGAAGCGAAGGCGGCUUACUGGCCCGAUACUGACGCUGAGGCGCGAAAGCGUGGGGAGCAAACAGG
This 253-nucleotide unclassified non-coding RNA is filed under the name uncultured Alphaproteobacteria bacterium. RNAcentral's name for it is "contains 16S-23S intergenic spacer region". It matches the Rfam family "Bacterial small subunit ribosomal RNA", at positions 524 to 776 of the family's 1533-position model. The record is from RNAcentral. Lineage: Bacteria; Pseudomonadati; Pseudomonadota; Alphaproteobacteria.